RNAcentral lists this ribosomal RNA (253 nucleotides) under uncultured bacterium. Its description in RNAcentral is "partial 16S ribosomal RNA". It matches the Rfam family "Bacterial small subunit ribosomal RNA", at positions 524 to 776 of the family's 1533-position model. The record is from RNAcentral.
UACGUAGGAGACGAGCGUUGUCCGGAAUCACUGGGCGUAAAGCGCGUGUAGGCGGAUCGGCAAGUCUGCUGUGAAAGCUCCUGGCUUAACCGGGAGUGGUCGGUGGAAACUGCCAGUCUGGAGGACGGUAGAGGUAGGUAGAAUUCCCGGUGUAGUGGUGAAAUGCGUAGAGAUCGGGAGGAAUACCUGUGGCGAAGGCGGGUCUCUGGGCCAUUACUGACGCUGAGGAGCGAAAGCGUGGGGAGCGAACAGG